ACCACCCUCGCGGUUUUUUUUUGUUUUUUUUUUUAAAUCGGCCUUUCCUGGGCGGGACUUCAAGCCCCGCCCCGACGUCCCGCCCUGCAGCCGCUCCGGGGCGGGGCUCCCUUCAGCCCUCGGCUGCCCUUUUCCCUGCGGCCUCUGCCCGGAGUAGCACCCGCUGCGGAGCUCCGAACACGUGCGGUUUUUGGCAGACACAACAUCUUUGUAUGUGGUGCUGAGGAUCGAAUCUGGGCCGCACGCAUGCCAGGCGAGCGCGCUACCACUUGAGCUACAUCCCCAGCCCGAUCCUAGAUCUCUUCCUGGAAGGUAACUUCUACAUAUCCUGUGGGUUUAACCUAUAUUCCAUUUAAAUCUAUGUGCAGAGCACU
This 374-nucleotide long non-coding RNA is filed under the name Urocitellus parryii (Arctic ground squirrel). Its description in RNAcentral is "lncRNA (ENSUPAG00010022048.1)". Lineage: Eukaryota; Metazoa; Chordata; Mammalia; Rodentia; Sciuridae. The record is from RNAcentral.